CCUACGGGCGGCAGCAGUGGGGAAUAUUGCACAAUGGGCGCAAGCCUGAUGCAGCCAUGCCGCGUGUGUGAAGAAAGCCUUCGGGUUGUAAAGCACUUUCAGCGGGGAGGAAGGCGUUAAGGUUAAUAACCUUGGCGAUUGACGUUACCCGCAGAAGAAGCACCGGCUAACUCCGUGCCAGCAGCCGCGGUAAUACGGAGGGUGCAAGCGUUAAUCGGAAUUACUGGGCGUAAAGCGCACGCAGGCGGUCUGUCAAGUCGGAUGUGAAAUCCCCGGGCUCAACCUGGGAACUGCAUUCGAAACUGGCAGGCUAGAGUCUUGUAGAGGGGGGUAGAAUUCCAGGUGUAGCGGUGAAAUGCGUAGAGAUCUGGAGGAAUACCGGUGGCGAAGGCGGCCCCCUGGACAAAGACUGACGCUCAGGUGCGAAAGCGUGGGGAGCAAACAGGAUUAGAUACCCGUGUAGUC
This 465-nucleotide ribosomal RNA is filed under the name uncultured Klebsiella sp. Its description in RNAcentral is "bacterial SSU rRNA". It matches the Rfam family "Bacterial small subunit ribosomal RNA", at positions 338 to 795 of the family's 1533-position model. The record is from RNAcentral. Lineage: Bacteria; Pseudomonadati; Pseudomonadota; Gammaproteobacteria; Enterobacterales; Enterobacteriaceae.